This 61-nucleotide microRNA precursor is filed under the name Dipodomys ordii (Ord's kangaroo rat). Its description in RNAcentral is "miRNA (ENSDORG00000020731.2)". Lineage: Eukaryota; Metazoa; Chordata; Mammalia; Rodentia; Heteromyidae. The record is from RNAcentral.
CAGAGGCUUAUGGCUCCAAGCCCUGAGAGAUAGGGACCUAUUGUUCAGGGCUUUAGGUUCU